Molecule: ribosomal RNA, 108 nt
Filed under: Castor canadensis (American beaver)
Lineage: Eukaryota; Metazoa; Chordata; Mammalia; Rodentia; Castoridae
Source: RNAcentral
GUCUACAUCCGUAUCACCCUAUACACUCCCAAUCUCAUCUGAUUUCAGAAACUAAGCAGGGUUAGGCCUGUUUAGUACUUGAAUGAAAGAGAGAGAGAGCUGUUGAAC